UUCUGGUUGAUCUUGGCGGAGGCUACUGCUAUUGGGAUUCGAUUAAGCCAUGCAAGUUGAAUGAUUUUAGAUUCAGGGCGUACGGCUCAGUACCACGUGAUAACUCCCCUACUAGGAACUGGAAUACACUUCUGGGACUGUGGGAAUAUACGGAAUUAUUAGGCUAUGCCUGGAAUGGUUUGCCUUUGAAAUGUUUUUUCGCCUAAGGAUAGAUCUGCGGCUGAUUANGUCGUUGGUGGGGUAAUGGCCCNACCAGCCGAUGAUCGGUACGGGUUGUGANGAGCAGAGCCCGGAGAUGGAACCUGAGACAGGNUCCAGACCCUACGGGGUGCAGCAGGCGCGGAACCUCCGCA
RNAcentral lists this ribosomal RNA (353 nucleotides) under uncultured rumen archaeon. Its description in RNAcentral is "bacterial SSU rRNA". It matches the Rfam family "Archaeal small subunit ribosomal RNA", at positions 1 to 354 of the family's 1478-position model. The record is from RNAcentral.